Molecule: ribosomal RNA, 292 nt
Filed under: uncultured bacterium
Lineage: Bacteria
Description: partial 16S ribosomal RNA
Rfam family: Bacterial small subunit ribosomal RNA
Source: RNAcentral
GUGUCAGCCGCCGCGGUAAUACGUAGGGGGCAAGCGUUGUCCGGAUUUAUUGGGCGUAAAGCGCUCGCAGGUGGUUCGUUGCGUCGUGCGUGAAAGACCCCGGCUCAACUGGGGAGGGUCGUGCGAUACGGGCGAACUGGAGGCCAGUAGGGGGAUGCGGAAUUCCGGGUGUAGUGGUGGAAUGCGUAGAGAUCCGGAGGAACACCAGCGGCGAAGGCGGCAUCCUGGACUGGUCCUGACACUCAGGAGCGAAAGCGUGGGGAGCGAUCCGGAUUAGAUACCCCCGUAGUCC